GAGUUGAGACCUGCAAGGCCGAUGAGGUUGGCUGGCCCGCCCUGCCCGUCCUGGUAGUGCAGGUAGAAGGGAGAGAGAGAGAAACAUCCGUGAUGAGAAUCUGAUCAGGUCGAUGGUCAAACACCGAGCCAGCCGGCCGGGCUGACUGGUGCCUUUCUUGGUGAAGACCUGGGGUGUCACAGUUGGUUGGGGCUUUGCUGGAAUAACGGUGUGUUGUCAGCCUUUACAAAUCAUCGGGAGCCAGGACGGUCCACGUUCACCCGGGUGCGACAAACAUGGAGGGAUGCCCAGUGGCCCAGGAGGCCACAGGCACUCGGCUCCUGACCUCCCCUCGCUGUGCAGCACGGGAAGGAGGGAUGAGCUGGUGGCACCGGCUGGAACAAGUCGGGGAGAGGAUACCAGACCCGAACUCUGCUGAAACAGCCCCGUGGAGGCAGCGGGGGUGCAGGGUGGUCCCCGGGACGCACCCAGGGAGAGGCGUCAGGACGGGGACCGCGUGGAGACAGCGGGGGUGCAGAGUGG
Molecule: long non-coding RNA, 522 nt
Organism: Myotis daubentonii (Daubenton's bat)
Lineage: Eukaryota; Metazoa; Chordata; Mammalia; Chiroptera; Vespertilionidae
Exons: 4
Source: RefSeq, a predicted model, not a curated record